Molecule: long non-coding RNA, 895 nt
Organism: Mus musculus (house mouse)
Lineage: Eukaryota; Metazoa; Chordata; Mammalia; Rodentia; Muridae
Product: predicted gene, 41838
Exons: 2
Source: RefSeq, a predicted model, not a curated record
CCCUUGUCCCCUUCCGUUUAUAAGUUACAGAUGGACAGAUCCAAACUGCUGAGUAAUCCAUAAUAAACCUCGUAAUAAAUUCUGGUCUGCUGGAAUGGCAGAGACACCUGCUGAUGGAGGAGAAGGGAGAGAGGAAGUAUUCACUGUACCACUUACUAAAAAUAGAGAAUUUCUCGACAUUGAGGUCUUGGGAUUUUUAGUUGAGACUUCGUUAUUUUAUUCAUGGUGAAGUGAAUUUUCUAAUCCAAGAAUACUCAGCUCCAAAUACAAGAAGCAAGAAUAUCUCUGAAACAAAUUCAGAGGGGAUUUGGUGACUGUCAUUUUAUAUAAUUCAGAGUCCGCAGAACUAAAUAAAUAGUUACAGUUCUUCCUGGCAUGAGGUUGUUUUUCAAGCCCAGAAUUUGUAGCAAGCAAUAAAGUGAAUCGGAUAGUGCCUACUGUAUUACUUUGGAAAUUAUAAAGUUUGCUUCUAUUUCUAGGAAGUAUUUGUAGUUUUAAUAUAAUUGCUGUCACCAUCGUUUCUCUAUUAAUAACAAAAGGUGUACAAUAAGUAGAAUAAAGUAGCCAGGUAUUUCAUAAUCUUUAGAGCCAAAUGACACAGGCACUACUUUGCAACACCCUUUUCUGUCUCCUUUUUCUUGAAUUUUUGUUUUUAGACCUCUCUUCUUAAAUCUCCGGACUAUCUCAUAGACAUCUGUUUUCUUUUAGCAGGCCAGCAUGCUGAAAACUGGUAACAAACAUUGUAAAACCAACCUUUCAUUUUAAAUACGAUUCAAGAUGUACCAUGCUACUGUGUCUAGACUGGUAGAAUAAAUUCUGAAAUGAUGGUGGGUUAUCUCUCCUAUUGUCUACAACCAAAUUUAGUAAUUUGCUAUUAAAAUACUUGGAUCAGAAA